AAGUUUUUUUUGUGGUGCGGGGGCUAUCAUGCAAGUCGAGCGAAUGGAUUGAGAGCUUGCUCUCAAGAAGUUAGCGGCGGACGGGUGAGUAACACGUGGGUAACCUGCCCAUAAAACUGGGAUAACUCCGGGAAACCGGGGCUAAUACCGGAUAACAUUUUGAACCGCAUGGUUCGAAAUUGAAAGGCGGCUUCGGCUGUCACUUAUGGAUGGACCCGCGUCGCAUUAGCUAGUUGGUGAGGUAACGGCUCACCAAGGCAACGAUGCGUAGCCAACCUGAGAGGGUGAUCGGCCACACUGGGACUGAAACACGGCCCAAACUCCUACGGGAGGCAGCAGUAGGGAAUCUUCCGCAAUGGACAAAAGUCUGACGGAGCAACGCCGCGUGAGUGAUGAAGGCUUUCGGGUCGUAAAACUCUGUUGUUAGGGAAAAACAAGUGCUAGUUGAAUAAGCUGGCACCUUGACGGUACCUAACCAAAAAGCCACGGCUAACUACGUGCCAGCAGCCGCGGUAAUACGUAGGUGGCAAGCGUUAUCCGGAAUUAUUGGGCGUAAAGCGCGCGCAGGUGGUUUCUUAAGUCUGAUGUGAAAGCCCACGGCUCAACCGUGGAGGGUCAUUGGAAACUGGAAGACUUGAGUGCAGAAGAGGAAAGUGGAAUUCCAUGUGUAGCGGUGAAAUGCGUAGAGAUAUGGAGGAACACCAGUGGCGAAGGCGACUUUUCUGGUCUGUAACUGACACUGAGGCGCGAAAGCGUGGGGAGCAAACAGGAUUAGAUACCCUGGUAGUCCACGCCGUAAACGAUGAGUGCUAAGUGUUAGAGGGUUUCCGCCCUUUUAGUGCUGAAGUUUAACGCAUUAAGCAACUCCGCCUGGGGAGUACGGCCGGCAAUGCUGAACUCGAAGAAUUGGACCGGGGGCCGCAACCAGCCGUUGCAAGCCAAGUGGGGUGGGU
This 953-nucleotide ribosomal RNA is filed under the name Bacillus sp. (in: firmicutes). RNAcentral's name for it is "bacterial SSU rRNA". It matches the Rfam family "Bacterial small subunit ribosomal RNA", at positions 26 to 1336 of the family's 1533-position model. The record is from RNAcentral. Lineage: Bacteria; Bacillati; Bacillota; Bacilli; Caryophanales; Bacillaceae.